Molecule: long non-coding RNA, 1108 nt
Organism: Nicotiana tabacum (common tobacco)
Lineage: Eukaryota; Viridiplantae; Streptophyta; Magnoliopsida; Solanales; Solanaceae
Source: RefSeq, a predicted model, not a curated record
UCACUCAAUUUUGACCUCUUCCGCCUAACUGAACUUUGAGAGGCAUCUGCUUCUUUUUUUCUUUCUUCGUAUCCUCUUGGUUCUUCAAAUCUUCAUUUUGGUUUAAUAAUUUUGUGGUAACAGAAUUAGACAUAAUGGAAUUAUGUGAUGAACUAUGAUUGCCAACACCCUCCCUCAAGAUGGAGGGGAGAGAAACAACACCUAACUUGCUGAGGAUUGAUGAAUUAGAAGGCCCAGAAAGGUGUUUUAUGAAUAGAUCGGCUAAUUGGGAAGAAGAAGGAAUAAAAGUGAGAGAUAUGAUGCCAUAAAGAAAUUGUUGGCGUACAAAAUGACAAUCUAGCGCGACAUGUUUAGUUCUUUCGUGAAAGAUGGGAUUGCGAGCAAUAUGUAUCGCCGCUUGGCUAUAGGAGUGAAGAGAAAUAGGAAGUGACAGGCUGAUGGAAAGAUCUUCACGGAGCUGAAUUAACCAUGUGAUUUCAGCUACAACUCUUCGCAUGGAUCGAUACUCGGCCUCCGCUGAAGAUAAUGAAAUUGAUGCUUGUUUCUUAGAUUUCCAUGAAAUUGGAGAUCCCCCUAGACUGAGAAAGUACCCAGAGAGUCUAGGCAAGAACCCCAAUCGGCAUCGCAAAAGGCAAGUAGAGUGAGAGAUGGAUCUGUUCUCAUAAAGAGACCUUGACCUGGGUUAUUUUGUAGAUAACUAAGAACACGAAUUGAAGCAGUGGAGUGAGGAAGACGAGGAUCCUGCAUAUAUUGGCUAAGAUAUUGCAUUGUGUAUGAAAUAUCUGGCCUUGUAUGAGUCAGGUAAUUAAGCUUUCCAAGAAGACGUCGAUAGACAGUAGGAUCCGAAAGAGGCUCAUCAGAAUCAGCACUGAGUUUGCACGAGGGAUCCAAAGGAGAAGAUACUGAAGAUAAAUGAUCACACUUGAACUCAGCAAGGAGUGGUAGUUUUGAGAAUUUACGCUCCUUUCAACUAUUUGAAGCCUUGAAUAACUUACUACGAGAUACGAGGCUUUCGAAGACCAAUUCAUGAGAUAAGGGCAUAGCAGAGUGAGAAAUUACACGGUUUGAGAUUCGAGGCAUUUGGAGGCCAAUUCACGAGGCAAAGACC